UUUCAGCUCGCCCCAACCAACUGAAACCAAACCAGAACCCCGACCCGUCCUCGUCUGCCUACUCGGCUCGACUCCUCUCGCACCACCAAACUCCACCGCGCGCCACCGCCACACGCCCCGGUGGUCCGGCGGCGACCGACCGAUCCACCACCGAGCCAGCCUACCAGCGGCGGGAUGCCGGGGCCGGGGGCGCACCUGCUGUACGCGCUGUCUGGCGGGGCGGCGCUGUCGCGGCUCGCCGGGCCCGGGGACCGCCGCUUCGGGGCGCACCACUGCGCCGUCUACGCCGCCAACGCGUUCCUCGGCCCGGACCUCGGCGCCUUCUCCGAGUGGCUCUGCUCCUUCCUCCCGUCCUCGGCCUCCGCGUCCGCCGCGGGGGACCUCGCCAUGGCGGCCGUGCACCACCCCUUCUACUACCCGCUUCUCCUCGGCCUCCCGCUCGCCUGGGCCUACGCCUGGCUCUCCCGACGGCUGCUCCGCGCCGGCGUCCUCGACUCCCCCGCCGGAGUGCCACUAAACAAACAAGAGGCAGUGCUUCUUGCUUAUCUCGGCCGGCUCCCUGUCUCAUUUUUUCCUGGACCACUUGUUUGAGGAGAAUGGCCAUUCUACAAUGUACACUUGGAUCCUGAGCACUGGUUGGUGGAGAGGCCAUGCUCCUAUCAAUCCAGAUGCAGUGGUCGUUGUAGGACUUCUUUGCACUUGCCUCAUGGGGGGGUUUGUGUACAUCAACAGAGUGAAGCAUGGAAAGUCCGCAGCAGAAAAAUCGAACCAAUCUUUUUUUCUCAUCCUGGUGAUAGCCACCCUGUACUGUAUGUGGUGUGCCAAUCAGAUAUACCUGCGGCAACCCCCUCAACCUGCCAUAGGUGAAGAAGCUGAUCUUGGAGUGAUAAUAUUUCUUGCCAUUUAUCUCUUUCUCCCGCAUGGCUUGUGCAUCCUUUCAGUGAACCAAAAGGAUUAUAAUGAUGCACUGAAUGAACUGCCACUUCGAUAAUUUGUGCUGUGCAUUUUUAUUCCUUAUAUCCAGAAGAUCAGUUUGGUAACAGUCUGGUUUCUGCAUUAUGUUGUAAUUAGAUUUAGUUAUUAACUGGAUGAUUGCUAGUGCACCUUUGUGUAGCCCUGUAAUUCUUAGGAAACAUAUAUUGUUAUGGAAUAAAGUUGUAUUAUGGAUGACAUUGACUUCUGUUGAAAAAGAAGUUCAUCAUUUAAAUUGGUCGCAUGGAGUCAUGGAGAUAGAUGGUACAGUUUGGUAUUCAAGGCAUCCAUGACACCAUUUGACACUAGUGGGUAUAAGCUGCAAAGCAAAUUAUGUCUGCCAAGCUAAUUGUUGUGGCUUGUGUCCUUAUCAGUGUUUCCAUUUGUUAUCUAGAUCAUUGUAUUUUCUAUGAGUUAUCAUGCUUCUCUCUUUUUAUUGGUUUUCCUCUGCAGUAGUUAAACUUUUAUGUAUAAUGUGAUACAAAAGAUGCUGAAAUAUCCCAGCUGACAUCUUACUGUAGGUCUAGAUUAGAGUACUGUCUCUAGUUUUGGUCCCUAACUACCUCUUAUAGGUGUGAAGUAAUUGUAACAGGUUGUCUUUAAACAUUUUGAUGUAAAUUUCUCAACACUCAAUUAGGUUAUGUUCACUUUAGUGCACAAAAAUGUUUAAGCAUGUUUAAACAUCAAGGGGCUUAAAGGAUCACACUGACUAGCUAUGCAAUGGACUCGAUGAUGCUAAUGCUGUUGUGCUUCUCAUCAUCUCUCAUGGAAAUCUCAAGAGCCUUCUCCAGCCUUGACACAACUUGCUCCAUGGAUGGCCGCUGCUUCUUGUGGCCAGUGCAUGACAGAGCAAGCUUCAAACUAAGAUCGAAUGCCUCUGUUGAGUACUCUCCAUUCAACCUAGGAUCAGCAAAGUCCAAUACAUUGCCAUCUUGGAUAAGUGCAGAAGCCUGGGAAUGACAGGAGCUGCAGGAGCACCAUUCCGAAGCUGUAUACAUCCCCUGCAGCAUUUACCUUGUGGUUGUGGCGGUAUUCCGGAUCGACAUAGCCAAAGGUUCCCCUGACUUCAGAGCUUACGUGCGACACACCUAAGUCAAUGACUCUUGAGAGUCCGAAAUCUGACAGCUUGGGUUCCAUAUCAACCCCAAGAAGUAUAUUGGUUGGCUGCCAUAGCAACCUUCAGGAUAUAUGUGCAGGAACCAAAGGCCGCAAGCACUUCCAAGUGCUAUCUGAAGCCUCUGAAUCCAUGAGAGGUUCUUAUCUUUUCCUGCAAUCAAAUUAUUCUUUUCUUCAUUGAAGCAAAAAAAGGUAUAUACUUCUGAAGCUUGUAGUCAUCACACGUUGAAUAUUUAGGGGCAAUCUUGUUACUCACCAAAUAGCCAUUCUGAUAGAUUACCGUUGAUACACAGCUCAUAGACAAGAAAGAACUCCCCCUGCCCAUCACAGUAACCUCUUAAUGACACAAGAUUUGGGUGCCUGACAUGUGACAGGCUUGUAACUUCCCUUAGGAAAGUUCCUGCAUGCUCAUUCUUAACGAUGUGCUUCACUGCAACAGGCCGGCCAUUUGCCAGCACUCCUCUGUACACUUUCCCUGGAACCACAAGAGGAUCAAAUUGCACACCACCAAGAGCAACAUACUUUAGACAGUAUAUUAACUGCCUUCUAAGCCUCAUGCUCAUUGAUGAGAAAUGUAGUCUCCUCAUACUCAAGGGAUGCCAAUGUGACCUCUGCUAGAUAAAUAUGUGCAAUUGCAUAUUGGUAUUAGUAGAGAACAGCAAUGACCCCAACUAUCACCCCAGCAGAGAGGCAUCCUAACAGUGCUUCAUAUCCUGUUGAUAAAUUUGAUGAGCUCAAAUUUUGAAAGAUCAGGCAGAACGGAAUGGGAGAAAAUAGGUAAAGAGACAAACCUCUUUGCAUCCUUUAGGUUAUGGGGCGUGUGGGAAGAACACGAGAUUGCUUCUCACUAACCUUGUAUUUGUUCUGAUUAAAGCAUGUUAAUGUCCGCGCAAUCUAUACCCUGUCGUUAUUACCAAUGAAGUGUUAGUGACUAGCAAUUGCCGGCCAAGGUGUAGGCUUGGAAGAAGCCAAAAGCACGAAAAAUAUUGUAUCCCAUAAUUGGUUUGGGUCUGGAUCAGAAACCCGGAAUCCAACAUCAACAGUGUCUAGUAGGGUUGCACAUUUAUAGACGUACUUGGAUUGGUGGGUUGUUGGGUUAGUGGAGGUCAAUUAGUUUGCACCCGUUAUAUUAGUCAGUGCAUUUGGAGUCAAGCGAAGGAGCAGUAGACAAAUGUCAAAUGCGACAACUCUAUGCGUAGUGGAAUAAUCUAAAAUAUAAACUAGAUCACUGGAACACUCCUCUACUUUGACGACUUCAAAUGAGCCAAAUUAGGGGUUAAAAUUAACGGCACCUUUUCCCCUUAAAAAAUAACCACUAGAACAAAGCAAAGCAUGUAACCAUCGUUAAGUGUUUUGUACACUAAUGUAUUCUCCCCGCUCUUUCCAGGCAACCUUUGUCUUUCUCAACAGCCUGUUGUUUUUACUGCUGUUCAGCUCCGAAGUAGAACACUAUUGGUGGGGGAAUUUGAUACCAUAUUGCUUCAACUGUACUUAUAUGCCUUUAGAUUUGAUACCAUGUCAUUUCACAUUCGGUUUCAACAGCGUCUAUACCUUUAAGAUUUGAUACUUUGUUGUUUCAACAGUAUAAUAACUUUGAAUGCUUCUUAAGAUAGAUUCUUUCUCCAGCAAAUUCAUGUUCGGAUGCAUCUGAUUCUCAAGCAACCUAUUUUCUGUACAGUAAAAGAUGGCUUGAAAUGGCCUUGAGAAAGGGUCUAAAUAAUGAGCCCGAGCAUCGCUUUCAUGGGUGCAGAGUGACACCAAAUAAUACUACACCCAUUUUUGUUAAUAAACCUAGCUGUGCAAGUCAAUUAUAAUCUUAAAAGAACGCAUUGUGUUCAGAGAACAAAUGGCCGCUAUGUCUCUUCCUAAAAAUGAAUGCACCUUUGCUUGUCCUUUUUUUCUUGUAGUGAGAAUCUAGCAUACAGUAUCUUUGUUGACAGUCACAAAGGCUUUAUCUGUUUAGUCGUCUAUCUGGUGAUCUGCGCCUGAUUCAGAGAAUAACAUGGUAGUACUCAUUUGUCAUAAGUUAAGGUUACUAUUUUAGGGAAAACAAAGAGAUUUAUUCAAUCUUGUAGCAUUGAUUUGUCAAUCCUUCAGUAACUAAGUAACCAUAUAGGAGAAUAAAAAUUUAUAAAAUAUCAUAUCAAAGUUGGUACUCUAGUAAAAUUAAACAACCUCAAUUUGGUUCCUCAGCAGAAAAUUUUCUAGUUGGUACUUUAGUAAAAAAAGGUAGUUUUAUUUUGAGUACCUUAACGGCCCGUGCUCCGGUCCAGGCACGGUGCCGUUGUUUUUGGACCAAUCCUCUCUUGAUACAAAGAUACACAGCUCUCCUGUUCGAGAAAAAAAAUUCUAGUAAAUAGCUGAAAGUUUACAGAGCACCUCUUUCUGAAUCACUUCUUAUCGGACGCCUUUUUUUUUAUCAUGUUAUCUAACUGACCCUACUGUCAUUCAGUCUGGUAUCACACGCACUAUGUCGUAUCUCAUGUGUCAUGCUGACAAAAUUGUCCUUCCGACUUAGCUGGAUUGCAGACCGCCUCCAGGCAACAAUUGAUCAAGUCUGGAGCCGCCACCAGGGGCAGGCAACAAUCGAUCAACAGACACCCCUGUUCAACUGGAAAGAUGCAAAUUCAGAUUGCGCUACAAGCCUCAGAUCUAGCGAGAGGCAGGUGUUCACCGCAGGGUCUACGGCGCAGGCCUCGACAGAGACAAUACAACAGCCCCUGGCUUUUCGUGAUGCAAUAGCACAUCCGCCAAUAGCGUGUACACGCGAUGUAUUGCACCUUGAAGAGCAGGUUGCACUUUGCAGCAUGUAUAUCUUACUUUAGAGCUUACUUCUUAGGGCUUAAGGAUGUACGAUUACUGCUACAUGAGCUUAUUCAUAAAGGUGAUCGAGCAUGAGAAUCUCCUUGAGAUAUAUAUUGGCUCGUGGUGGUUGUUACCCA
This is an RNA transcript of Panicum virgatum (switchgrass), 5030 nucleotides long. RefSeq lists it as uncharacterized. Lineage: Eukaryota; Viridiplantae; Streptophyta; Magnoliopsida; Poales; Poaceae. The record is from RefSeq and is a predicted model, not a curated record. The transcript is spliced from 8 exons.